CGAGCACUACGAUCUCUUGAUUAAAACUUAAAGAGCAUGGCGGUCAUAAGAAAAUUUAGGGGAACUUACCGAGUAAUUGAUAACCCACAAGGUCCUCCUCUUAACUUAAAAGUUUGUAUACCGCCGUCUAGGCGUCCUCGCAAGAAGGCGCCAAAGUAAUCUAUGUUAAAAAGACAGGUCAGGGUGCAGCCAAUAGUUAAGUUUCAGGCGAGUUACAAUAAUAAUUAAUUUUUCAAGAAAAUUUAAAAUUUUUAAAGAAGUGGACUUAAAAGUAAUGUUUAUACACAAUACAACUUGAAUAGAACGCUUAUGGUGC
RNAcentral lists this ribosomal RNA (316 nucleotides) under Wallaconchis gracilis. RNAcentral describes it as "Wallaconchis gracile partial 12S ribosomal RNA". Lineage: Eukaryota; Metazoa; Mollusca; Gastropoda; Systellommatophora; Onchidiidae. The record is from RNAcentral.